CGAGCGAGCUUGCCUAGAUGAUUUUAGUGCUUGCACUAAAUGAAACUAGAUACAAGCGAGCGGCGGACGGGUGAGUAACACGUGGGUAACCUGCCCAAGAGACUGGGAUAACACCUGGAAACAGAUGCUAAUACCGGAUAACAACACUAGACGCAUGUCUAGAGUUUGAAAGAUGGUUCUGCUAUCACUCUUGGAUGGACCUGCGGUGCAUUAGCUAGUUGGUAAGGUAACGGCUUACCAAGGCAAUGAUGCAUAGCCGAGUUGAGAGACUGAUCGGCCACAUUGGGACUGAGACACGGCCCAAACUCCUACGGGAGGCAGCAGUAGGGAAUCUUCCACAAUGGACGAAAGUCUGAUGGAGCAGCGCCGCGUGAGUGAAGAAGGGUUUCGGCUCGUAAAGCUCUGUUGGUAGUGAAGAAAGAUAGAGGUAGUAACUGGCCUUUAUUUGACGGUAAUUACUUAGAAAGUCACGGCUAACUACGUGCCAGCAGCCGCGGUAAUACGUAGGUGGCAAGCGUUGUCCGGAUUUAUUGGGCGUAAAGCGAGUGCAGGCGGUUCAAUAAGUCUGAUGUGAAAGCCUUCGGCUCAACCGGAGAAUUGCAUCAGAAACUGUCGAACUUGAGUGCAGAAGAGGAGAGUGGAACUCCAUGUGUAGCGGUGGAAUGCGUAGAUAUAUGGAAGAACACCAGUGGCGAAGGCGGCUCUCUGGUCUGCAACUGACGCUGAGGCUCGAAAGCAUGGGUAGCGUACAGGAUUAGAUACCCUGGUAGUCCAUGCCGUANACGAUGAGUGCUAAGUGUNGGGAGGUUUCCGCCUCUCAGUGCUGCAGCUA
Molecule: ribosomal RNA, 832 nt
Filed under: uncultured bacterium
Lineage: Bacteria
Description: bacterial SSU rRNA
Rfam family: Bacterial small subunit ribosomal RNA
Source: RNAcentral